UUCUUUCUAUCUUGCUUGCCUUCUUUCCUUCUUUCUCUCUUUCUUUCCUUUCUUCCUUCUCUCCUUCUAUCUUUCCUUCUUUCUGUCUUUCUUUUUCUCUCUUUUUUCUUUCCAUCUUUUUUCUUCCUUCUUCCUUCCUUCUUUCUUUCUUUUUUAUCGCUUUCUUUCUUUCUUUCCUUCCUUCCUUUUUCUUUCUUUCUUUCCUUCUUUCUUUCUUUCUUUCUUCCUUUCUUUGUUUCAUUCCUUCCUUCUUUCUUUCUUUCCUUUUCUUUCAUCCUUUCUUACUUUCCUUCUUGCUAUCCUUCUUUCUCUCUUUCCUUCUUUCCUUCCUUUCUUCCUUCUUUCUGUCUCUCUCUUUCCAUCGCUCUUAUUUCUGAACCCCUUUACCCAUUUUCCCGCAGUCUUCAACUUCUCUUCUGGGGUGUUCUACCACAAAAAAACCCUAUUUUGUGGCUGCUGGCUGUUACACUCUUCCUCAAGUCUCUCCCUAUUCAAGUCCAUCCUCCACUCAGCAAUCAAAUCGAUCUUCCUAAAAUGCAGGUCCACCCCCUCCAUUCUAUCAAUUUUAACAUUUUCCUAUUGCCUCCAGGAUAAAGUAAAAUAUUUUUUGUUGGUCUUUUAAAGCCCUUUAGAACCUGAUUCUUUGUACCUUUCCAUACUUCUGCUUUUUUUGGGAGAAACACUUACCUUCUGUCAUAGAAUUAAUACUAAGUAUUGGAUCUAAGGCAGAAAAAGCAGUAAGGGCUAAGCAAGCGGGGCUAUGUGAUUUGCUGGGUCACACAGCUUGUUGUCUCUUUUCAUUAGUCUGCGAGCAGAAAUUGCUCUCUCUUUCAGCAUCCCCAGAGAUUAGAACAGUGCCUGGCACAUCGUAGGUCCUUGCUAAAUAUUUGUUGACUUUACUUAAUUACACUGAAUGGUUUCUUGUAUAUCCACCAAAGUGCUAAGUAUGGUGCCAGUCACAUAUUAUUAAAUCUCACCUCUCUCUCUCCCCUAAACUUCAGCUCCACAUCUCACCUGCUUACUGGCCAUUUCAAAGUGGAGAUCCUAGGGAUUAUCUUAACCAAUAACAUGCCCCAAACCAAAUUCAUUCACUCAUGUCUCUCUUCCUCCAAACCUUUCUGUUGAAGAAACCACUAUCCUUCAAGACUGCCAUACUUGUAACCCCAGCAUUUCUCUUGAACUCCUCACUCCACAUAUCCAACCAGAUGCCAAGUUUUCUCUUUUCCACCAUCAUAUUUCUCACAUCUGGCUCCAUUUUCCCCAUCACAUAGCUAAUAACAGUUCAGGUCCUCAUCACUAUUACCUAGUUUAGACAACAGGUUCCUAACUAUUCUCCUGGCUUCAACUCUCUCAUUACUUGAGUCCAUUUGACACAAUGCUCUUAAGAGUAUAUGUUUCUUAAAUACUUCUAAUCAGGAGGCUUUCCUAUUACAAUAGACUUUUAUUGUCACUAGGAUAAAAUAUAAACUUCUAUGUUUAGCUUGGAAAGUCCUCCAUGACCUGGUUCUAACCUAUCUUUUGAGCCCAAUUGGAUGGUACUCGCCCACAUUUUGUGGUUCAAGAUCCAACUAAAUUGGAUUUCUUUGUAUUCUUCAUACAUGACAUUCCUUCUCCUAUCCUUGCAUCUUUGCAGUGGCUGCCUCACAUUCCUGGAAUUCCAUCCAUUCUUACUACCAUCUUAUAGAGUCCCUCUCUUCCUUUAACAUACAUCCCAAGCACCAUCUUCUUUAGGAAACCUUUCCUAUGCCCCACAAGGCUAACAUCCUCAUAUUCUUGUUGAAAUAAGCUUUGGAUAUAUUUAAUAUAUAUAUAUAUAUAUUUUUUUUUUCUUCCAGGGUACAUUUUAUAUGUACUUUUUGUUUUUCUGGUUAAAAUAGGAAUUCUUUCCAAGUAGAAAUUAUUUCAUUCUUUGGAAUUGUGUCCCCAGCAUAGUGCCUACCACCUAGUAAACACUUAAUAAGUACUUGUUGAUUGAAUGAUUGAUUUAAAAAUAUAACAAUAGAAAAUGCAUCUCAUAAAAUUGUUAUAGCCUUUGUGGGGGCCAUAUCUAAUUUCUAGAUAAAAGAUUAGUGAAGAAAUCGGUUGUAUUUUUUCUCAAAGCAAUUGCAGUCAAUAAAGUGUCCCUAUAAAGAAUAAAGUUGUUCUGU
This 2147-nucleotide long non-coding RNA is filed under the name Monodelphis domestica (gray short-tailed opossum). RNAcentral's name for it is "lncRNA (ENSMODG00000050825.1)". The record is from RNAcentral. Lineage: Eukaryota; Metazoa; Chordata; Mammalia; Didelphimorphia; Didelphidae.